Molecule: long non-coding RNA, 475 nt
Filed under: Rattus norvegicus (Norway rat)
Lineage: Eukaryota; Metazoa; Chordata; Mammalia; Rodentia; Muridae
Description: long non-coding RNA NONRATT018740
Source: RNAcentral
CGGGCUGAAGUGAAGUUGGGGGGCGGGGCGGGACGCGGAGCGCUGCCCAUCUGUCCUCCAAGGUUUUCCUUUCUCCACCUUGCACUCGUUUAUUCAAUGACACCUGCCGCCAGGGGAAUGCUCUCCCUGCCAAAGUUAAUGACUCCAUGAUAUUUAGAAACGGUAUGAGUCCAAGAGGGGAGAGUGUGUCCCGUGUUCCUCAGCAAAAAUGGCUCCAGCUCCUGGUGUCCUUUGGUAAAGUGGGGCUGCUGGAUCCCUGCUUGGGCUGGGGAUAAUGGCACUUCUCCCACCUCCCCUCAACUCUUUCCAGACGCAUCAACUCUAGAACUCAAUUCGCAGGGCACAAGUUACAAGUACAUAUGAGUUCGGGGGCAGAGAAGAACUUGAAGCCAUCCACCCUGCCUCCCCUCCGACAAGCCAAAGGCCACAGCAAAAGGAAAACGAAGAGUGUCACUAAAAUCCAACCAGGUGGGCA